This 1053-nucleotide long non-coding RNA is filed under the name Marmota monax (woodchuck). Lineage: Eukaryota; Metazoa; Chordata; Mammalia; Rodentia; Sciuridae. The record is from RNAcentral.
AUCCCCAGCCUCAAAUUUCAUUCUCAACAUCCAUCUCAGUGGGAUUCCAGACUCCGCCCUACAGACCCCCCAAAAGCCCCCUACCGCCGGACUUUUGAUUCUUACCUAGCGCAUUAAAGGCUGCUCUGGCGCUUGGCACCAUGGGAUUUGUAGUUCUAGGGCUCGCAGACUGGGACUUUGCACAUGCGUUGUUGGUGGCUUCCGCACGUAUCUCCAGACCUGUUUCUUCCCAGUUGAACUGGCUACGGUGUGUAUCCUUGCUUCUCCUUUCUCUUUAGGGAGUUUUCCUUCGCUCUCGGAGCGAAAUUAGGCGUAAGCUGGCGCUCCCCUAGCCAGGAAGGCCAUAAUACUUGCUUUUCAUGAAUGAACAGAGCUGGGAUGAAGUAGGGGAAGUAGGCUAACUACUGUCGCUUCAGGUUGGGGCAAACAUUGAUCUGUGUCUCUCCUGAAAGUCAGAUAGUCUGUCAGGGAAGGGCUAGUCCUUUGGGAUUAGAGCCUUGGUUCAUCCGGUAAAUAUUGGUUUAGGGAGUGGUCGAAUACAGCAUACAGUCAAAGAAUGGCCUUGAGCCUCACGGGGUAAAAAAAACACGCUUUAAAAGAACAGUUUAUGGCUUGCCAGGUAAUGCUUAACUUGGACUAUCUCUAAUGGAGCAAACUAUUCUUAUACACAUUUGACGGAUGGGGAAAACUGAAGCCCCGAGUGGCAGGAGGUCGCCCAUCUUGAUAUCCGCAGGGCCAGGAGGGGAAGGAAACCUGACAGCUUCCAGGGUCUCCAGCUCUUUGCAACGCUUUGCUCUCAGGAGGAAAAACAGUGCCCUGCCGUCUUCAGAUGGAGCAUGGAUCACGAAGAUUUCUUCUUCAUGACCCUGCUCUUGCCUAAAUUUCUUGGGCAAGGGAUUUCAUCUCCUUCAUCUUCAGGUAGGGAAAAGAAUUAGGCCUCCUGUUGUACUUAUUUUACUAAUUUUAUUUUAUUUAAAAAUUUAUAUCUUUUUUUGUCUCCUUGUAAAAAUUGUCACACAGUAUUGAAAAUAAAUAGCGUAAAAUGGGGCGGCG